AGAGUUUGAUCCUGGCUCAGGACGAACGCUGGCGGCGUGCUUAACACAUGCAAGUCGAACGGAGUUUAAGAGGAAGCUUGCGAAUCUUAAACUUAGUGGCGGACGGGUGAGUAACGCGUGGAUAACCUGCCUGAAUGACUGGGACAACACCGGGAAACUGGUGCUAAUACCGGAUACGCUCAUCAUUGCGCAGGCAAAGGUGAGGAAAGGAGAAAUCCGCAUACAGAUGGGUCCGCGUCCCAUUAGCUAGUUGGCGGUGUAAGAGACCACCAAGGCGACGAUGGGUAGCCGGCCUGAGAGGGUGGACGGCCACACUGGAACUGAGACACGGUCCAGACUCCUACGGGAGGCAGCAGUGGGGAAUCUUCCGCAAUGGGCGAAAGCCUGACGGAGCAACGCCGCGUGAGUGAGGAAGGCCUUCGGGUCGUAAAACUCUGUCUUCAGGGAAGAAAAAAAUGACGGUACCUGAGGAGGAAGCCCCGGCUAACUACGUGCCAGCAGCCGCGGUAAAACGUAGGGGGCGAGCGUUGUCCGGAAUUACUGGGCGUAAAGGGCGCGUAGGCGGUUAUUUAAGUCAGAGGUGAAAACUACCGGCUCAACCGGUAGCCUGCCUUUGAAACUGGAUGACUUGAGGGCAGGAGAGGGGAGUGGAAUUCCCAGUGUAGCGGUGAAAUGCGUAGAUAUUGGGAGGAACACCAGUGGCGAAGGCGGCUCUCUGGCCUGUUUCUGACGCUGAGGCGCGAAAGCGUGGGGAGCAAACGGGAUUAGAUACCCCGGUAGUCCACGCCGUAAACGAUGGGUGCUAGGUGUAGGAGGUAUCGACCCCUUCUGUGCCGUAGUUAACACAAUAAGCACCCCGCCUGGGGAGUACGGCCGCAAGGUUGAAACUCAAAGGAAUUGACGGGGGCCCGCACAAGCGGUGGAGCAUGUGGUUUAAUUCGACGCAACGCGAAGAACCUUACCAGGGCUUGACAUCCUCUGACCGCAUAUGAAAGUAUGUUUUCUGGCUUCGGUCAGACAGAGAGACAGGUGGUGCAUGGUUGUCGUCAGCUCGUGUCGUGAGAUGUUGGGUUAAGUCCCGCAACGAGCGCAACCCCUACGCUUAGUUGCUAACGUGUAACGAUGAGCACUCUAGGCGGACUGCCGUUGACAAAACGGAGGAAGGUGGGGAUGACGUCAAAUCAUCAUGCCCCUUAUGUUCUGGGCUACACACGUGCUACAAUGGCCGGUACAAAGGGACGCAAAGCCGCGAGGUGGAGCAAAUCCGAUAAAAGCCGGUCUCAGUUCGGAUUGCAGGCUGAAAUUCGCCUGCAUGAAGUCGGAAUCGCUAGUAAUCGCAGGUCAGCAUACUGCGGUGAAUACGUUCCCGGGCCUUGUACACACCGCCCGUCACACCACGAAAGCGAGCAACACCCGAAGCCGGUGACUUAACCUGAAAAGGAGGGAGCUGUCGAAGGUGGGGUUGGUGAUUGGGGUGAAGUCGUAACAAGGUA
This 1493-nucleotide ribosomal RNA is filed under the name uncultured bacterium. RNAcentral's name for it is "bacterial SSU rRNA". It matches the Rfam family "Bacterial small subunit ribosomal RNA". The record is from RNAcentral.